UAGUGACGAAUGAGGCUGCCUUUCCCGCU
RNAcentral lists this non-coding RNA (29 nucleotides) under Homo sapiens (human). The record is from RNAcentral. Lineage: Eukaryota; Metazoa; Chordata; Mammalia; Primates; Hominidae.